Non-coding RNA from Heterocephalus glaber (naked mole-rat), 805 nucleotides. NCBI's taxonomy places the organism in Eukaryota, Metazoa, Chordata, Mammalia, Rodentia, Bathyergidae. The record is from RefSeq and is a predicted model, not a curated record.
CUGUUGGAGGUGCUGGGGACAAACAGAAAUCAUGCCUAGGAGGGGUCACACCUGAGUUCUUCAACAGUACAUCCAGCCAGAAGCCCCUUCAUCUGCAUUCAUCACAGCUCUCCUCGUCCUGCCUGGCUAGAGGGCUCUUCCUAUCUCUCUUCCCCUCAGCAGGGCACUGCAUGAAUGUGGCCAGAAAAAGCUGGGACUUGAUGUCACGCAAACCUGAUGUCAUGAAGACACCAGGACUUGCAAGGUGAGGAAACUGAGGCCCACUGAAAGAGCUGGUUUGAACAGAGCAGUUUGAGUCCCAGGACUACAUUCUCAGCUGUUCUGUUGCACCGCAGGAAGAGGGAGAAUGUAUGUUGAGGUUCCAAGUCAUGAGAAGGCAGCCCUGGUGGGAGAGAAGAGACACUUGGUACUGAAGGGGUUGAUGUGCCGAAAUCUAGGAGAGGACGACUGCUCCCAGGCCUGGUGUCCCAGGUUUCUUAAUAAAGAUUUUCAGAAAUGCUGGCUGCUCAAGGGUGGGUUGUCUGCAGCCUGAAGAUCUUGGGAGGAUCGACAUUAAAGGAUCUGAUAAGUGGCCAUCUGUCUGGCUAUUAAAAUCCCAUCAGCCUCCUUGGGAGAAUGCUCGCUUCCCCCACGCCUGCCAUCCCAAAGGGGGUCUUGGAGCCAUGAGCUCGGAGCAGCCCAGGUCCUACAUGGGGAAAGCACUCUGCUCUCCACUCUUCUGGAGGCCUCCUGUCUCCCCUGCCUGGUCUUUCCCUGCUGCGUAGAUGAGCAACUCUGUGAUUUAUCUCCAGGUCCCACAUUAAUA